RNAcentral lists this long non-coding RNA (4249 nucleotides) under Carica papaya (papaya). Its description in RNAcentral is "long non-coding RNA (CPAP_LNC006078)". Lineage: Eukaryota; Viridiplantae; Streptophyta; Magnoliopsida; Brassicales; Caricaceae. The record is from RNAcentral.
UAUUUUAAAAGUUCUUAUAAUAUUGUAUAUGAAAGAGAAAGAUAUGUCAUAGCUGUUGAAGCUGGUUAUCCUCUUAACUGUAAAAUAAAUGACAGCAGUUAAGCUACUUUUAUGAUUGUAGUGAAGAUCUAACAGGGGUUAUUCAAGAAAUUCCUUGCAUUGAUAUGGUUGUUAGAAACACUAAUGAAACAUAAACAUGAAAUUAAAUUGCAUUAAGAAAGGAUAAAUACAUCUUGAGGCAUCAAAUUACUUUUUCCCUGAACCUUGUCUCAUUGCCAACUUCUACUUGAAAUACUGGAUCAGAAGUUAAUCACCAAGGGAAGUAUAUAAACUAGUCACAAGCUCAUCCCCACACUUUCUUGUCCUCAUGCUCCUCUGUAUCUUCUUAAUCAUGUAUUGAGAUAUUGAGUUUCGCCUUUAACAAGAAUCUCUAUAAGUUUGCAGAUCCCCCUUAUAAAUAGAUCUGCAGCUGGUUUACCCGUCUAAUCAAACAUGGCUAGAGCCAGUGACUAGAUGGUUGAGUCACCCAACUCCUCUGCCUUUGGAGAGGUUGCAACUUUUGCAACACCCUGGAGUAAAUUUGGUAACUCUCAUUAUUAAAAGCAAAACUAAAAAACGGAAGAUUUUUAGAAGCUAUUUUGGUUAGUCUGGCGUGGCUUUUUCCACUGGUUAAGAAAUGGUUUUUUCCUGUGUUUUAACCAAGGCAUGGCUUUUUCCACUGGUUAAGCAAUGGUUUUUUCCUGUGUUUUAGAGAAGCUAUUUUGCAGAAUAACAAUCUGGAGUCCAGAAAGUGUACCAAACAUUAUAAUUUGUCAGAGAUAAGGAACAAUUAUUCCAUUUACUCCUCAUUCUUGUGAACCAUUGAAUCUUAAAGGACUUUUUGUUUCCUUUAUGCAUGAACUGCAUUCCCUUGUUGCUUCAUUAAUGAAUUUUCUGUCUUUGAAAUGCUUUUCUUUCUUUUGCUUAAAAUUAGUGCAUCCUUAUUUUUCUUUUCUUUUUCUUUUCUAGCAGAUUACACUCCAAAUAUCACUUUUCUUGUUAUUUCUGUGUUGUAUUGUAUGGCUGAUGAAGAUGAUGGCCUUGAAUAUCCGUGUCUUCAUCUUAAUACACCGGUUAUGUAGAUGUUUUGAGUUAUGUUCUCGCUGUUACAGCUAAAGAAAGCACUACAUAAUGGUGCCCGUGUAUCUAAUUUUUGAAAUUGCAGAUGGCAGAAUACUUCAAUGAGAAAUCUGGUAUAUCAGGAUGCAUUUCCACUCGGAAACUUUAAUGCCAUGUUCAAUUUCACUGGUUCUUGGCAGUUGANNNNNNNNNNNNNNNNNNNNNNNNNNNNNNNNNNNNNNNNNNNNNNNNNNNNNNNNNNNNNNNNNNNNNNNNUAAAAGUUUGGAGGGAAAAGAGAUCUCUUAACAAAAUCUAAAGCUUUUACCUAUGGGAUUGGGCAUAUCCUGCUGUUACCUUUCGUUGUUACUAACAACCUGCAAAUAUGCAAUUGAAGUAUUUCAUUUUUACCAAUUUCGUCAGUUUAUGUUAGGUAUCCUUUUGGGGGUAAAUAAAAAUUUCCGGCCUGUGCUUUUCCACUUUAGGACAGUGGAAACUAGUAAAAGCCCAGCAGGCAGUAGGCCUUGUAACCCCACCCAAAGAAAAGAUGCUGAAUCUUUGUCAUAUAUAUAACCUUUUUCUGGAUGUUCGUACCUUUCUUCAUUUGGAACAUAAUAGGUUUUCUUUGACAAACAUGAGCCAUUAUGGAGUACAUUAAGCCGUCCUAAAUAUGAGCAUUAAAUAAGUAACUUCAAAUUUACAUAUAUCACUCUUAAAAAGCUACAUCAAAUCAGGUUUCUGAUAUGUAUUCCUCUUUUGUAAUUUUCUAUUUUCAGUUUUAUUGAAAAUUAUGGUACACAUAUAGUUACAUCUGCAACAGUUGGUGGAAGAGAUGUGGUUUAUAUCAGGCAGCACCAAUCAUCUCUAUUGUCUUUGUCGGAUAUUGAGAACUACGUCCAUGAUAUCGUGGAGCAUAGGUUUGUGAACUCAGAAGACCAGUCCAGUGCUGGCCCCUUAAAGUACAAGGACAAGGUUAGAAUUAUCGCAUUUAAGACUAUCAAGAUUCUUCUUUUUUUUUCGUUUUUUUUCUGGCAUCUUGAUAUUGGCACUAAACAGAAAGAGCAGUUUGUCUGUCAAACUAAAAAUCAUUCAUCCCUUGGUAAAAGUAAAAUUUGAUGCCAAGUUCUUACAUGUAAAGACGUUAUAAGCUAAGCUUAAAAUUUUUUGAUUAAGAAUGACGCUUGACUUCAUCAACUAAAUUCUUCUAAUUUCUCUUCAACUUGCUUUUUGGACAUGCUUGCAAAAGUUUAUGAAACCAUUACAUUCGCCGUCUAUUCCUGGAUACUGUUCUGGUGGAUCCAGACAACAAUUCGUUUACGAUGCCAUUUGCAUUAUGAUCCUUUUAUAUGUGUGGAUUUAUUGCUCAAAAUUUUCUUGUUGUAGGAUGUUACAGUGAUUUUUAGAAGAAGAGGAGGUGACGAUCUUGAGCAGAGUCAUGCCAAGUGGGCAGAAACAGUCAAAUUGGCCCCUGACGUAAUUAACAUGACAUUCACCCCGAUUGUUUCUCUGCUUGAAGGAGUGCCUGGACUAAAGCAUUUGGCCCGCGCAAUUGAGUUAUAUUUGGAGUGUAAGUUAUCAUUUAAUAGUUUUUCUUCUGGCGAAGUUGUCCUUAUCAAAAAAGUUGUCAAAUCAUUUCAGUUAAAAAAAGUUAUUACUUAUAAGUUGCAUGCUAGUUUAAGUGGAGGAGUACGUUGAUUUUUGGUGAGAGAUUUAUCACUAGUUAAUUCCUUAGCACUACAUUUUCAUAUUGGUUACUCAUUUUACCAUUUUCUGGAGAAUGUUGUUACUUGUUUUUUUUUUUUUUUUUGGCUGCACACUGUUGUGUGAACAGCUGAAAGUGUCUAAAAGAAUCAAAUGAAUAGAACAAACUUUAACAGAUUUUGGUAAUAAACAAGUAACUUUUAGAUUAUAAUGAAGUAAGUUUUGCAGAUUUUACAAGGAGACAAGAAAAGCUGAUGAGGAAAUGAAAGUUCCUCGCUAGACUUGUCCGAGAAUUGUUUAUACAUUGAAUAGGUCUUUAUUAUCCUCUUCUCAUUAUUCUUAAUUAUGAUUACCGGUCAAGAAGAGGCUGAAUUUCCACAAAAAAUAUUUACGCUCCUAUUUGCCAAACCAUGUUUAUUCUCUGUUAAGUACAAUUACCUUGCUGAUUUUGCACUCACCGAAGUAAAAUGUCAUUGAUUUUACAGAUGCUCUCUCUCUCUCUCUCUCUCUCUCUCGCUCUCUCCCUCCCUCCCUCCCUUCUAUAAAUUACUAAUUAUUUGAUUAUCUUUUGUAAUUUACCAGACAAGCCUCCAAUUGAAGAUUUACAAUAUUUUUUGGAUUUUCAACUUGCUAGAGUUUGGGCUCCAGAACAGAGUAACAUCCAAAGAAAGGAGCCUGUUUGUCCAUCCCUUCAAUUCAGCUUGAUGGGUCCCAAACUUUUUAUCUGUCCUGAUCAGGUAUUAUUUUUUCUUUCAUUUUUUGGAAAUUUGCAUUGUCUAAUGUGUUUAGUUAUGGAAGGGUAACAGAGCAAGAUAAUUUCUAGUGGACAUUGUUUGAUGGUUCUGCUUUCCAAAGUUCAAUUUCCUGUACUAAUUAAAUCAGGUCGUUCUACUGAGAAGCAAGAACUUAAUUUAUGCUGCAGAUAGAAAGAGGGCCUUGUCUGAGAUACAGAUUUGUUUAACGUAGUUGAUUUGACAGACAGAGAGAGAACUUAGAACAGCAUGGCUGGACUUCCAGUAUUUAUUACAGUUAAUACAAUUUUGAUUCCUAAGAAGCUUAGGUCCACCAAGGCAACGAUUAUGGACAUGAUUAAGUCUAUUUCCCUCAUGUCAAAAAGAAAAAUCUGUUUGGCAUGCAUAAAGUAGUCUUAUCUUUUUCAGCUACUGAUUUAAAGAUGCUUGUUGUGGUUUCCCAAGCUAAAUGAAAGUAUAUGUUGAUGUUUCAGGUAACUGUGGCCGUAAACCAGUCACUGGACUUAGGCUUAGCUUGGAAGGCAGCAAGCAAAACAGACUUGCUAUCCAUUUGCAACACUGGUAUCUCUUCCAAAAAUCCUUCAACCUCAUUGGACACACAUGUUGCCAUAGGUGCACCAAGAUGGAAAGGUCCAGAAGAGCAGGACAGCCGCUGGUUCGAACCUAUAAAAUGGAAGAACUUCUCUCAUGUAAGCACCAC